GACCGAGGUGGCAAGCGUUGUUCGGAAUUACUGGGCGUAAAGGGCGCGUAGGCGGCCCGUCAAGUCCCGUGUGAAAGCCCCCGGCUCAACCGGGGAACGGCGCGGGAAACUAGCAGGCUUGAGUUCGGGAGAGGGAAGCGGAAUUCCGGGUGUAGCGGUGAAAUGCGCAGAUAUCCGGAGGAACACCGGUGGCGAAGGCGGCUUCCUGGACCGACACUGACGCUGAGGCGCGAAAGCUAGGGGAGCAAACGGG
Molecule: ribosomal RNA, 253 nt
Filed under: uncultured bacterium
Lineage: Bacteria
Description: partial 16S ribosomal RNA
Rfam family: Bacterial small subunit ribosomal RNA
Source: RNAcentral